CCUACGGGGGGCUGCAGUAAGGAAUAUUGGACAAUGGAGGCAACUCUGAUCCAGCCAUGCCGCGUGAAGGAUUAAGGCCCUAUGGGUUGUAAACUUCUUUUAGACGGGACAAAACCCCUUUACGUGUAAAGGGUUGAUGGUACUGUCAGAAUAAGCAUCGGCUAACUUCGUGCCAGCAGCCGCGGUAAUACGAAGGAUGCAAGCGUUAUCCGGAAUUAUUGGGUUUAAAGGGUGCGUAGGCGGACUAAUAAGUCAGUGGUGAAAGCCUGCAGCUU
This 275-nucleotide ribosomal RNA is filed under the name uncultured bacterium. RNAcentral's name for it is "partial 16S ribosomal RNA". It matches the Rfam family "Bacterial small subunit ribosomal RNA", at positions 338 to 610 of the family's 1533-position model. The record is from RNAcentral.